RNAcentral lists this long non-coding RNA (1300 nucleotides) under Gossypium barbadense (sea-island cotton). RNAcentral describes it as "long non-coding RNA (GBAR_LNC006301)". The record is from RNAcentral. Lineage: Eukaryota; Viridiplantae; Streptophyta; Magnoliopsida; Malvales; Malvaceae.
CAAACUCAACAUUAUCCUCGGUGAUAGCCGAAAUGUUUUCAGCCAAAAGUUCCAUGGACUUCCUUAGAGAAACACGAUGAGAGCCAUGGUUUUUGAAACACACGUUACUACCAUGGAGGCUCUUAUUUUGCUUGCUGUUUUUCCCUCUAAUUCUCAUCCCCUUGCCCGAAUCAAAAUUUCCUAGUGGAGCCGAGGAACUACUUGUGGGCAAAUGUUCUUUAUUUUCUAAAAAUACUACUGCUGAAUACCUGCCGGAAUCCAAGCUUCCUACGUCCACCACAACCUCGCCUCUGUCCAACUCCUUUGAAGGUGAAUUAGAUCGGUGUAUUUCGUGCUCCUUUGCAGCUUGUAAAUCCUCUUCAACGAUGACCUGCUCAAAACUGAACACCACUGCAAGGGUUCGACCACUGCUUCCAGCUCCAACAGUACCCCGCUGAACUUUUGUCUGGCCCUAACGGUCCACAAGUGUCCAGGCCUGUAUAGGCGAAACCACCUCAAGGCCCAAACCAUGGGUAAGGGCAUCUGAACCCUGCAUUGUACCUUUAGAAUUUGUGUGGGCCGAAUUGUAACCCAAAGAUAAAAUCUUUAUUCUUUUUUAUAAUCGGGCCUGAAACAUUUUUGAGGCCCAACUCUUUAGUUUUACUGUUGCUAUUUCCCUUAUUAAAACCAGCUUGAACAUUAAUUUGGCUCCCCAAUUCUUUCCUCCAAUUAUCCUCAAUUAAGAUACCUUUUCUUUUAGAUUUUCGCAAAUCAGCCAUAUUCCUGUUUUGUGUUUCUCUAAUUAAAUCCCUAUUCUCUAGGCUACCAAAUCGGGAGCCAUCCUUAUCUCGCUCUUUAUUUUCGGUUGAUUUCAGCAUAUUGUCCCUAGAUUUACGCCUUGCUUUUCUUUCGACAAUCAUCAGGGUUCGAAGUUACCAUCUUUCUUCUUCGAUUCUACAAUGUUCACCUUUUGACUUUCCGAUUCUGUCACAGGCGAGUCUCUGUUCGCUUCAACCGUAGACUCAGAAGUUUUGAAUUUACAACUGUUCGCCUCAACCGUAGACUCAUAAGUUUUGAAUUUACAAAUGUUGUCAACGUGCCCAUACCUUCCACAAUGAAAACAUAUUGUAGAGAGGGAUUUGUAUUAUACAUGUUGUUUCCGAAUAUUAAUCAAUAUUUGGGAUACCAAUGGUUUUUCUAAGUUGACAUACACCGCCAUCCUAGAAAAUUUACCAUUCGCCUUACUAUCGGUGUUCAUGUCUAACUUGACCACUUUACCCACCAGUUCUCUGAUUUCUGUAAUGAUUUUGUGAUUGUACAG